GGAGGGGGCGAGCGUUAUUCGGAAUUAUUGGGCGUAAAGGGCGCGUAGGCGGCUUGAUAAGUCAAAGGUGAAAUCCCUCGGCUCAACUGAGGAACUGCCUUUGAAACUGUCUGGCUUGAGGCCGGGAGGGGGUAGCGGAAUUCCCAGUGUAGCGGUGAAAUGCGUAGAUAUUGGGAGGAACACCGGUGGCGAAGGCGGCUACCUGGACCGGUUCUGACGCUGAUGCGCGAAAGCGUGGGUAGCAAACAGGAUUAGAUACCCUGGUAGUCCACGCUGUAAACGAUGGGUGCUCGGUGUCGCGGGUAUCGACCCCUGCGGUGCCUUAGCUAACGCGUUAAGCACCCCGCCUGGGGAGUACGGUCGCAAGGCUGAA
RNAcentral lists this ribosomal RNA (373 nucleotides) under uncultured bacterium. RNAcentral describes it as "bacterial SSU rRNA". It matches the Rfam family "Bacterial small subunit ribosomal RNA", at positions 527 to 898 of the family's 1533-position model. The record is from RNAcentral.